RNAcentral lists this ribosomal RNA (440 nucleotides) under uncultured bacterium. Its description in RNAcentral is "partial 16S ribosomal RNA". It matches the Rfam family "Bacterial small subunit ribosomal RNA", at positions 338 to 795 of the family's 1533-position model. The record is from RNAcentral.
CCUACGGGCGGCAGCAGUGGGGAAUAUUGCACAAUGGGGGAAAGCCUGAUGCAGCGACGCCGCGUGAGCGAAGAAGUCUUUCGGUACGUAAAGCUCUGUCAUCAGGGAAGAUAAUGACGGUACUUGACGAAGAAGCCCCGGCUAACUACGUGCCAGCAGCCGCGGUAAUACGUAGGGGGCUAGCGUUAUCCGGAUUUACUGGGCGUAAAGGGAGCGUAGGUGGUUUAGUAAGUCAGAAGUGAAAGCCCGAGGCUCAACCCUUAGAAAGCUUUUGAAACUGGUGAACUUGAUUGCAGGAGAGGUGAGUGGAAUUCCUAGUGUAGCGGUGAAAUGCGUAGAUAUUAGGAGGAACACCAGUUGCGAAGGCGGCUCACUGGACUGUAAAUGACGCUGAGGCACGAAAGCGUGGGGAGCAAACAGGAUUAGAUACCCGUGUAGUC